Molecule: ribosomal RNA, 435 nt
Filed under: uncultured bacterium
Lineage: Bacteria
Description: partial 16S ribosomal RNA
Rfam family: Bacterial small subunit ribosomal RNA
Source: RNAcentral
AGCGAACGCUGGCGGCAGGCUUAACACAUGCAAGUCGAGCGGGCACUUUCGGGUGUCAGCGGCGGACGGGUGAGUAACGCGUGGUGACGUGCCCGCUGGUUCGGAAUAAUUCAGGGAAACUUGAGCUAAUACCGGCUACGCCCUUUUGGGUAAAGGCUGGCAGCGGGAGGAUCGGCCGGCGCUCGAUUAGUCAGUUGGUGCGGGAACGGCGCACCAAGGCGAUGAUCAGAAGCUGGACAGAGAGGAUGGUCAGCCACACUGGGAGGGAGACACAGCCCAGAAUCCUAGGGGAGGGGGGAGUGGGGGAUAUUGGAAAAUGGGGGGAAGGCUGAUCCAGCCAUGCCGCGUGAGUGAUGAAGGCCGUAGGGUUGUAAAGCUCGUUUAUCCGGGACGAUAAUGACGGUACCGGAGGAAUAAGCCCCGGCUAACUUCGUG